RNAcentral lists this ribosomal RNA (502 nucleotides) under uncultured bacterium. RNAcentral's name for it is "bacterial SSU rRNA". It matches the Rfam family "Bacterial small subunit ribosomal RNA", at positions 15 to 507 of the family's 1533-position model. The record is from RNAcentral.
GAUCAUGGCUCAGGAUGAACGCUAGCUACAGGCUUAACACAUGCAAGUCGAGGGGCAGCAUGAACUUAGCUUGCUAAGUUUGAUGGCGACCGGCGCACGGGUGAGUAACACGUAUCCAACCUGCCGAUGACUCGGGGAUAGCCUUUCGAAAGAAAGAUUAAUACCCGAUGGCAUAGUUCUUCCGCAUGGUAGAACUAUUAAAGAACUUCGGUCAUCGAUGGGGAUGCGUUCCAUUAGGUUGUUGGCGGGGUAACGGCCCACCAAGCCUUCGAUGGAUAGGGGUUCUGAGAGGAAGGUCCCCCACAUUGGAACUGAGACACGGUCCAAACUCCUACGGGAGGCAGCAGUGAGGAAUAUUGGUCAAUGGACGAGAGUCUGAACCAGCCAAGUAGCGUGCAGGAUGACGGCCCUAUGGGUUGUAAACUGCUUUUAUAAGGGAAUAAAGUGGGAGUCGUGACUCUUUUUGCAUGUACCUUAUGAAUAAGGACCGGCUAAUUCCGUG